RNAcentral lists this small nucleolar RNA (73 nucleotides) under Yamadazyma tenuis ATCC 10573. Lineage: Eukaryota; Fungi; Ascomycota; Pichiomycetes; Serinales; Debaryomycetaceae. The record is from RNAcentral.
UAAUUUGAUGAUAUUUUCACACCAUAUCCCGGUGACUCCUGAGCCAUGGAUAAACAUGCAUCACCAUCUGAAC